UUGCUUCAGCAGCACAUAUGCUAAAACUGGAACAAUACAGAGAAGAUUAGCAUGGCCCCAGAACAAGGAUGACAUGCAAAUUCAUGAAGUGUUCCAUAUUUUU
Molecule: small nuclear RNA, 103 nt
Filed under: Sus scrofa (pig)
Lineage: Eukaryota; Metazoa; Chordata; Mammalia; Artiodactyla; Suidae
Also listed under: 1 other name
Source: RNAcentral